RNAcentral lists this ribosomal RNA (174 nucleotides) under Eupsophus calcaratus (Chiloe Island ground frog). RNAcentral's name for it is "partial 16S ribosomal RNA". The record is from RNAcentral. Lineage: Eukaryota; Metazoa; Chordata; Amphibia; Anura; Alsodidae.
ACGUGAUCUGAGUUCAGACCGGAGUAAUCCAGGUCAGUUUCUAUCUAUAAGGAGCUUUUUUUAGUACGAAAGGACCAAAAAAGCAUGGCCCCUGUUUUCAACAAGCCAUUUCUAUUAACUUAUGUCUAAAACUUAACUCUUACAUAGUCCCUCCCUCUGUUCAAGAAAAGAACA